This 240-nucleotide non-coding RNA is filed under the name Bacillus sp. (in: firmicutes). RNAcentral's name for it is "Bacillus sp. T-box sequence". It matches the Rfam family "T-box leader". From Rfam's summary of the family: Uncharged tRNA acts as the effector for transcription antitermination of genes in the T-box leader family. The record is from RNAcentral. Lineage: Bacteria; Bacillati; Bacillota; Bacilli; Caryophanales; Bacillaceae.
GAUAAACCAUUGAUGGAGAAGAGUAGUUAAACCCCACAUGAAAAGAGAGAGAGUGCCGCCCGGCUGAAAGCAUUCUCACAUGAUGAUUUAACGAAAGAACACUUCGUAGGUUUCUCUCUGAAAAAGACGUGAUCUUUAGUAGGAGCUGAACGUUAACAGGCGUUAACUGUAAAAGAGGAAGUCUAUUUAUUGGCUUCAACUAGGGUGGCACCACGGGAAAACCAAACUCUCGUCCCUUGU